GUUUCUGGUUUCGGGUGAAAUCUAUGGUGGUAUCAUCCGAAAUCAACUAAAAUUUGCAGUUUCAUCAGCGGACAUCCAAGAUUGAUAGCCAUGACAUGGGUUCCCCAUCUCCCAAGAUGCAUACAGCAAAUUAAAAAAAAGGUUUAACAGUCAAAUGAAAGCCUGCUGAAUCAUGACCGAAAAAGAUGAGAGGUUACCUUCACUCCUUGGAAUCGUGAACAAACAACGCUUGAAUGGAGGAGCAAUGAAUCACUGACACCGGACAAAGGAAACUAAGGAAAGUUCCUCCUUUAUGCUACGAUGGGCCUCCAGAUUUUCGAUUUCCCCUCU
Molecule: long non-coding RNA, 330 nt
Filed under: Coffea arabica (coffee)
Lineage: Eukaryota; Viridiplantae; Streptophyta; Magnoliopsida; Gentianales; Rubiaceae
Description: long non-coding RNA (CARA_LNC001282)
Source: RNAcentral